RNAcentral lists this long non-coding RNA (492 nucleotides) under Trifolium pratense (red clover). Its description in RNAcentral is "long non-coding RNA (TPRA_LNC004661)". The record is from RNAcentral. Lineage: Eukaryota; Viridiplantae; Streptophyta; Magnoliopsida; Fabales; Fabaceae.
AAACAUAAUCGCAUAUCAUACGAGUAUAAGAAAGGCCUUACACUUUCGAACUAUCAUACAUAUUCUAACUCACGCCAUACAAUCACAGUAUUAAAUACAUAGGAAUUUACCUAGUAUGCUACUUACAGCAAACACGUCAGAACCAGUCGAGUAAUGUCACAUAACAAUUACCAAGUAAAUGUGCAUAUACCUUAAUGCAAUCUAAUGCCAAUUAAUUAACUGUCAUGCCAUCCCUAGACAUGACUAAAUGCAUGUGGUACCAAGGCGUCUCACCAACGGUGGACCAAGAACAGUUUUAUAUCUUGCUGGAUAUGUCGGAACUUACCGAACCAUCUUAUCUCCCUUGGAUAAGCCAACACAGUUUUAUAUCCUGUUGGAUAGCAGCUCUGGACUCAUGGAUUCAUCUAAUCCGAUCCUCGGCUUCAUUAUGGACACAUAAUUCAUUUUCGUUAUUGGAACCCAAGUUUCCAAUGUUCACAUACAAUCAUGAAU